Molecule: ribosomal RNA, 481 nt
Filed under: Neisseria sp. oral taxon 014
Lineage: Bacteria; Pseudomonadati; Pseudomonadota; Betaproteobacteria; Neisseriales; Neisseriaceae
Description: bacterial SSU rRNA
Rfam family: Bacterial small subunit ribosomal RNA
Source: RNAcentral
AUUGAACGCUGGCGGCAUGCUUUACACAUGCAAGUCGGACGGCAGCGGGGUAGUGCUUGCACUACUGCCGGCGAGUGGCGAACGGGUGAGUAACAUAUCGGAACGUACCGAGCAGUGGGGGAUAACUAAUCGAAAGAUUAGCUAAUACCGCAUAUAUUCUGAGGAAGAAAGCAGGGGACCUUUGGGCCUUGCGCUGUUUGACGGCCGAUAUCUGAUUAGCUGUUGGUGGGGUAAAGGCCUACCAAGGCGACGAUCAGUAGCGGGUCUGAGAGGAUGAUCCGCCACACUGGGACUGAGACACGGCCCAGACUCCUACGGGAGGCAGCAGUGGGGAAUUUUGGACAAUGGGCGCAACCUGAUCCAGCCAUGCCGCGUGUCUGAAGAAGGCCUUCGGGUUGUAAAGGACUUUUGUCCGGGAAGAAAAGGGCGGGUUAAUACCCUGUCCUGUGACGGUACCUGAAGAAUAAGCACGGCUAACUAC